GAGUCAAUGAUGAAAUAUUUGCAUUGUCUCUAGAGAGAUGAUGACUUAAAAGUCAUGCUCAGUGGUGUUACAUGAGGACC
Molecule: small nucleolar RNA, 80 nt
Filed under: Carlito syrichta (Philippine tarsier)
Lineage: Eukaryota; Metazoa; Chordata; Mammalia; Primates; Tarsiidae
Description: Small nucleolar RNA SNORD115 (ENSTSYG00000020493.2)
Rfam family: Small nucleolar RNA SNORD115
About the family: HBII-52 is a member of the C/D class of snoRNAs, which contain the C (UGAUGA) and D (CUGA) box motifs. HBII-52 is encoded in a tandemly repeated array with another C/D snoRNA, HBII-85, in the Prader-Willi syndrome (PWS) region of chromosome 15.
Source: Rfam by way of RNAcentral